Molecule: unclassified non-coding RNA, 296 nt
Filed under: Hevea brasiliensis (rubber tree)
Lineage: Eukaryota; Viridiplantae; Streptophyta; Magnoliopsida; Malpighiales; Euphorbiaceae
Source: RNAcentral
GUUUAUCCAAUGCAAUUUAAUCUUUACAAUAAUAUCAAUUUUUUAUUUCAAAUUUUAUUAAUUUGAAUUUUUUAUUUGAUUAAAAAAAAUACACUGUACAUACUUCUAAAGUAAAAAUUUAGGUAAGAAAAGGCAUUAAUUAACAACAAGGGAUAACUUUAUUAAAAUUAUGUUUAUGGCAAUUGGCAUCCACAUAUAGUGUUGACUUAGAGUGGUGCCAUCUGAAUCAGUUUAAUGUAUUUGCAUAGUUUUUUAAUAUAUUUUUCUUUAAUUUGUUUAAUGGUUUCCUUAUUAGA